ACUAUCCUGAUAUUGCAACUUUACAAACCUUAAUCUCUAACUUUAUUCUUGGUCAUCAAAAUAAUCUUAUGUUUUGGUAAAAUGGUCAUUUACUCGUGUAAAAUGUUUCACACUUUUUGGUGUUGGUGUUAUUGAAAUAUGAGUGAAAUAUAUUAUUUAAAAGGAAAAGAGAUUACCUUUCGUUUGAUUUUCUUGUUAGUGGCUAUGAACAGAAAUAUAAUAUAUAUAAAAAAGUUAAAAAAGUUAAAAUAUUUAGGUGAAAAUUUUAAGAACUAAUUUGCAUAUU
RNAcentral lists this long non-coding RNA (286 nucleotides) under Ananas comosus (pineapple). Its description in RNAcentral is "long non-coding RNA (ACOM_LNC029824)". The record is from RNAcentral. Lineage: Eukaryota; Viridiplantae; Streptophyta; Magnoliopsida; Poales; Bromeliaceae.